RNAcentral lists this ribosomal RNA (494 nucleotides) under uncultured bacterium. RNAcentral describes it as "partial 16S ribosomal RNA". It matches the Rfam family "Bacterial small subunit ribosomal RNA", at positions 28 to 507 of the family's 1533-position model. The record is from RNAcentral.
GACGAACGCUGGCGGCGUGCUUAACACAUGCAAGUCGAACGGUGAAGCGCCUUCCUUUUUGGUGGGUGUGGAUGAGUGGCGAACGGGUGAGUAACACGUGAGUAACCUGCCCCCUUCUUCUGGAUAACCGCAUGAAAGUGUGGCUAAUACGGGAUAUUCUGGGUCUGUCGCAUGAUGGGUCUGGGAAAGAUAUUGUUUCGGUGGGGGAUGGGCUCGCGGCCUAUCAGCUUGUUGGUGGGGUGAUGGCCUACCAAGGCGGUGACGGGUAGCCGGCCUGAGAGGGUGGACGGUCACACUGGGACUGAGACACGGCCCAGACUCCUACGGGAGGCAGCAGUGGGGAAUAUUGCACAAUGGGCGCAAGCCUGAUGCAGCGACGCCGCGUGAGGGAUGGAGGCCUUCGGGUUGUGAACCUCUUUCGCCAGUGAAGCAGGCCUGCCUCGUCUGUGGGUGGGUUGACGGUAGCUGGAGAAGAAGCGCCGGCUAACUACGUG